This 404-nucleotide ribosomal RNA is filed under the name Diplacodes trivialis. Its description in RNAcentral is "partial 12S ribosomal RNA". The record is from RNAcentral. Lineage: Eukaryota; Metazoa; Arthropoda; Insecta; Odonata; Libellulidae.
GUAGAAUUAGUUAUGUUCUUGAAACCCAAAGAAUUUGGCGGUAUUUUAUUCUUUUUAGAGGAACCUGUCCUAUAAUUGAUAAUCCACGAUGGUGAAUUACUUAUUCUGGUAUUCAUUUUGUAUACCUCCGUCAUCAGAGUAUCUUUUUAGAGUAAAUAUUCUAAAUAUACUAAAUUAUAAUAUGUCAGGUCAAGGUGCAAAUUAUGGGUAAGUAGAGAUGGGUUACAAUAAAUUUAUUUAUACGGAUUAGUAUUUUUAUUUGUAUUAUGAAGGUGGAUUUAAAAGUAAAAUUAUUCACUUGAUAUUUUGAUUUUAGCUCUAAAAUAUGCACAUAUCGCCCGUCGCUCUUAUUUUAAAAUAAGAUAAGUCGUAACAUAGUAGGGGUACCGGAAGGUGUUCCUAGU